GGUUGUGUCAAGUCCAUAUCCAGUGUCAUUGGGUGAAGAAAAAAACACAUUUACUGUAAAAACUCUGCAUAAAUUGUAAUAUUUUUGUUGUUUUUUACCGCUUCACCUGAAAGCGUGGCGAUAAAUGAAAGUGGAUAUCGCUUAAUUGUUAUUCGCAUGUUUUCAUUCACAGAGUUCAUCAAGAAAAUCCACUUGAAAAUGAGUGUGGGAAUUCAGAAGCUGAGGCCCAGAAACGAUGACAAGCAAAAGUCAUUGCGGUAUUAUUUACGGUAUGAGCUAAACGAAGACUGUUUGGUGGAGCUGUGUGAAUACUUACAUGUUCAUGAUUUGAUGCAAAUUUGUGAUCUCGACACCGAAGAUGACCAAUAUUUCACCGUGCUGAUAAGAGAGCGUGUGAUUGGUCGCAAGCUAAUCGAUUUAGAGCCACGGAAUAAGCGUCAAAAGGUGUGGUCAUUCACAAAAACAUUCGAAACAUUUGGUCCAUACAUCAAGCGCUUGAAGAUCCCAUUGCGUUCGAAUCAUUUCAAUUACAUUUUGCGUAAAAUAAUAACACACAGUGCACCGGGCACACUGACCGAAGUGCAAUUCAUGUCGUUGCCAUCGGAGAGCCAUGAAGAUGUUGAAGUGCCGGUGAAUUGUGAUUUGUUGCAACAGGUCAUUCCAUACUUCAGCAAAGUUAAAACGGUGCUCAUCGAGGACGAAUGGAGCGCAUUGUGGGGAUUCUACAGCAUUUUUCUCAAUUCAAGCAAUGUGAAAAGCUUGAAAAUGAUCAAAGUUAACGGAGGCAAAAAGGUAUGGUCGGAACUGGCAACAAUCGACCAUCUCAAUUUGACCGAGUUGAAAGUGGUUGAAUGCAUCAGUGGACAAGAUUUAGCAAAAUUUAUCGCGAAGCUGCCACAUCUGGAAGUGUUCAAUUGGCAUGGACGCAGAGAUUGUGCAGCCGUUGGUAUGGCACUUGUCAAAAAUUGUCCCAAAUUGAAAGUCUACGGUGAAUAUUGCGAAAAUCGAAGCGAUGAUCCACACUACUACGAUUUUCUCGGCCAUUUUCAACAUUUGAUCCAAGUAACAUUGACAUCGAAAUCGACCACCGCUCAUGAUCUCAAAAGUACGCUGCAGAUUUUGUCACGACGCAAUCAAGUGAAACAGUUGACCCUCUAUCAAAGUGACGCCAAAAUGGUCGAACCAAUGAUGAUUGAUGAACAUUUUUUCGAGUAUUCACACGGAUUUUCCAGCUUGAAGACCAUUCUAUUCCACUUUUAUGACCAUUCAGCUACCAUUGAUUUCGAACAACGCCAACCAUUCUUUCGUAACUUGUUGUCGUCGAUGCAUGGACUGGAAAAAAUGACAAUGAUAAGCGGAUCGUAUGUUUUCAACAUUCCAAGAAUCAUUCAGUUCACACCGCGAAUCCAAGAAAUUAGCAUCAACCAGCAGAGAUUGUUUCAUAUGCCAGCUGAGGUUCGACGCAUUCGAAAGUUCAUCCAAAAAAUUGCCGACGAAAGACAAAACGAUGGCACAUUCAAACCCGUUCGAAUCAUCAUGAAUGCUGAACAAGCCAGGGAAUUUCUGGUACUGAAGAACAUCGAACAAAUCGUCACUAUUAUGAUUAAGGAUGAACAUGAGGAUAGAGCACAUUUUGGAUACACCAUGAUGUAAUUUUCUACGUCGAUUCAACAACACUGAUUGGGUGACGUUUGAGAAAGUGCAUUCAAUUGGUUUGACACUUCAAAUCAUUUGAUGGUUGUAUUGUGUGAUGUGAGGAUUAUUUUCAUAAUUUUUACCGUUUAAUUUGAUAGAGUUUAAAUGAUAAAAUUUUGAAAUAUAUAAAAGUCGCAAGUCGCAAGUCGCAAUCCAAAAAAGAAAAUUCAUCAAAAACCACCGCAAAAAUACGAAAGUGGUGAAAACGUUUAAGUCAUUAAAUUGUUGAUUAAAAUCGAUCACUUCAUCCAUCGUGUUGCCAUUGAACUAUGACGAACCCAGCCAAUUCAACAACGAACUUGGAGAAAAUACUUCAGUGCAGUGGACUCAACGAAGACUGUUUGGUUGAAAUAUUGAAAUACCUAAGUGUUUGCGAGCUGUUGAUAGUAUGUGAUUUAGACGACGGAGACGAUAAAUCGAUCACGAAUCUUAUCAAUGACCGUGUUAUCAUCAAGACAUUCAUCGAUUUCGAUCAAAUCCAAUCGGAGCAAAGCUCAUGGUCGGUCAAUAGAGUGUUUGAACAAUUUGGCCAGUCGAUGAAACGAUUGAAGGUAUUGAUAACAUCAGUAACAUUCAAUCUUUUUCUACGAAAGGUCGUUCGAUACUGCCGACCGGAUCGUUUGUCUGAGCUUGAAAUCGUAAUAAAUACAAAAUAUGUACCAUUGGAUGUUGAUAACGUGCUAUGGGAAGAAGUGCAACAAAAAUUCCGUCGUCUUACAAAUUUUACCCUGAAACGUACGUUGAAAAGCCCAGACGUGAACCAAAAUAAGUGGAUGUCCGAAUUUGUCAACCAACUUGAUUUGCCACACCUCGAAGUUCUGGCACUGCAACGCUUGUGGUUAACCAAUACUUGGUUAGGAUUGUUCCCAAAUCGGCAAAUGUGUGCCAAUAUCACUGAAUUGCGCUUGAUGAACGUUAGUUUGCACGAAAAUAUCAAUGAUUUUCAAAAGUUUCUAAACCAAUUUCCGAAUCUCGAAGUGUUUAUUCACACGGGUGGCGAACAAGAAUUUACAACGGUCGCUGAACAAGUGCAUCGACGAUUUCCAAAUUUACGCGGUUUCGGAUGUAGCAUCAGUCCUUUUGACGAGAAAUCUGCUUUUGACAAGUAUUUCAAUGUUCUAACGAUUUUUACAAAUUUAACCGAAUUCCAUAUAGAUGUCUUUGGACAACGUUUUCAACAUGUGGAUGCUAUUAUUCGAUUUGUUCCGAAUAUUAAGAUUCUGGCCAUUUGGCAAAUUUUAGACUUAUACCUGCUUCCAGUCGGAAUUCGUCGUAUUGUGCAAGCGAUUAGAAAAACCAUCACCAAUCGACGUGAACGAUUUCCAGCCAACGACCGUAUCCACCUUCUUGUGAACGAAUAUCAAUUCAACGAAUUUAAAGUUAUCAAAAAUAUUGACGAUAUCAUACGGCUCACAUUCAUUGAUUUCGAUAAAUCGAUUCCCGGUUAAUCAAUUGGUGAUAUCAUACGGCUCACAGUCUGUGAUUCCUAGUAAGGUCAUUGAUUUAAUCUAUAGAUGUUGAUAUUUAACUCCUGAUGAAUCUAAACUUAUUCGUAUUUUUGUGAAAUAAACUGAAUAAUACCUAAUAAAUGAGUCUUGUCGACAGUGUCUACUUGUAAGAACGAAACAAAA
This is an RNA transcript of Sitodiplosis mosellana (orange wheat blossom midge), 3326 nucleotides long. RefSeq lists it as uncharacterized. NCBI's taxonomy places the organism in Eukaryota, Metazoa, Arthropoda, Insecta, Diptera, Cecidomyiidae. The transcript has 5 exons. The record is from RefSeq and is a predicted model, not a curated record.